GACGAACGCUGGCGGCGUGCUUAACACAUGCAAGUCGAACGGAAAGGCCCUGCUUUUGUGGGGUGCUCGAGUGGCGAACGGGUGAGUAACACGUGAGUAACCUGCCCUUGACUUUGGGAUAACUUCAGGAAACUGGGGCUAAUACCGGAUAGGAGCUCCUGCUGCAUGGUGGGGGUUGGAAAGUUUCGGCGGUUGGGGAUGGACUCGCGGCUUAUCAGCUUGUUGGUGGGGUAGUGGCUUACCAAGGCUUUGACGGGUAGCCGGCCUGAGAGGGUGACCGGCCACAUUGGGACUGCGAUACGGCCCAGACUCCUACGGGAGGCAGCAGUGGGGAAUAUUGCAUAAUGGGCGGAAGCCUGAUGCAGCAACGCCGCGUGCGGGAUGACGGCCUUCGGGUUGUAAACCGCUUUCGCCUGUGCCGAAGCGUGAGUGACGGUAAUGGGUAAAGAAGCACCGGCUAACUACGUG
This 468-nucleotide ribosomal RNA is filed under the name uncultured bacterium. Its description in RNAcentral is "partial 16S ribosomal RNA". It matches the Rfam family "Bacterial small subunit ribosomal RNA", at positions 28 to 507 of the family's 1533-position model. The record is from RNAcentral.